UUUUGUCUCCAUGCCUUGUUGCCCGUCCUUUGCUUGUUAUCGCCGUUCACCACACCCUGCUUGUUCAUUUACUCUUGUUCUUGGCCACCUCCCUGACCAAGGCCCUCCUUGCGCGGUUACCGAGUUUGGUCAGGUGGCCAACUCUAGGAAGUGUCCAGAAGAAUGAGCAGGUGGUGCUGUACUCGCCCAACUGAGCAUGGCAACAGGAGCACUUGAGGCAACGCGUGUGCCAGUACCGUUCCAUGGAG
Long non-coding RNA from Monopterus albus (swamp eel), 248 nucleotides. RefSeq lists it as uncharacterized. The record is from RefSeq and is a predicted model, not a curated record. Lineage: Eukaryota; Metazoa; Chordata; Actinopteri; Synbranchiformes; Synbranchidae. The transcript has 3 exons.